CCUCUGGUCUGUUGGGGCAGCGCUGCUGCCAUUCAAGGCCAACGAGUGGAGCUCCAAGCAGCCCCUGUUUAGAUGUGACCCACAACUGCUCUCUUCAGUGCACUGGACUCAGAGGACCCCCGAUGGGAAGAGUUCCUUGGCUCCUGUUCUCCUUUGCACAGCUUCCAACAUCUUUCACAUGGAGGUGAAGAAAGUCUCAGCAACCUGUUUCCUCAAGCUCAG
Molecule: long non-coding RNA, 222 nt
Filed under: Ictidomys tridecemlineatus (thirteen-lined ground squirrel)
Lineage: Eukaryota; Metazoa; Chordata; Mammalia; Rodentia; Sciuridae
Description: lncRNA (ENSSTOG00000030046.1)
Source: RNAcentral